UAGGGAAUCUUCGGCAAUGGGGGCAACCCUGACCGAGCAACGCCGCGUGAGUGAAGAAGGUUUUCGGAUCGUAAAGCUCUGUUGUAAGUCAAGAACGAGUGUGAGAGUGGAAAGUUCACACUGUGACGGUAGCUUACCAGAAAGGGACGGCUAACUACGUGCCAGCAGCCGCGGUAAUACGUAGGUCCCGAGCGUUGUCCGGAUUUAUUGGGCAUAAAGCGAGCGCAGGCGGUUUGAUAAGUCUGAAGUUAAAGGCUGUGGCUCAACCAUAGUUCGCUUUGGAAACUGUCAAACUUGAGUGCAGAAGGGGAGAGUGGAAUUCCAUGUGUAGCGGUGAAAUGCGUAGAUAUAUGGAGGAACACCGGUGGCGAAAGCGGCUCUCUGGUCUGUAACUGACGCUGAGGCUCGAAAGCGUGGGGAGCGAACAGGAUUAGAUACCCUGGUAGUCCACGCCGUAACGAUGAGUGCUAGGUGUUGGAUCCUUUCCGGGAUUCAGUGCCGCAGCUAACGCAUUAAGCACUCCGCCUGGGGAGUACGACCGCAAGGUU
This 548-nucleotide ribosomal RNA is filed under the name uncultured bacterium. RNAcentral describes it as "bacterial SSU rRNA". It matches the Rfam family "Bacterial small subunit ribosomal RNA", at positions 355 to 895 of the family's 1533-position model. The record is from RNAcentral.